AACCAUAGAAACCUGCGGAGUACCUGCGGAAGGAUCAUUACAGAGUUGCAAAACUCCCACAAACCAUCGCGAAUCUUACCCGUACGGUUGCCUCGGCGCUGGCGGUCCGGAAGGCCCUCGGGCCCCCGGACCCUCGGGUCCCCCGCUCGCGGGGGGCUGCCCGCCGGAGUGCCGAAACCGAACUCUUGAUAUUUUAUGUCUCUCUGAGUAAACUUUUAAAUAAGUCAAAACUUUCAACAA
RNAcentral lists this unclassified non-coding RNA (240 nucleotides) under soil metagenome. RNAcentral describes it as "partial contains 5.8S ribosomal RNA, internal transcribed spacer 2, and large subunit ribosomal RNA". The record is from RNAcentral.